RNAcentral lists this ribosomal RNA (492 nucleotides) under uncultured bacterium. Its description in RNAcentral is "partial 16S ribosomal RNA". It matches the Rfam family "Bacterial small subunit ribosomal RNA", at positions 29 to 507 of the family's 1533-position model. The record is from RNAcentral.
AGUGAACGCUGGCGGUAGGCCUAACACAUGCGAGUCGAACGGCAGCACAGUAAGAGCUUGCUCUUACGGGUGGCGAGUGGCGGACGGGUGAGGAAUACAUCGGAAUCUACUUUUUCGUGGGGGAUAACGUAGGAAAACUUACGCUAAUACCGCAUACGACCUACGGGUGAAAGCAGGGGAUCUUCGGACCUUGCGCGAUUGAAUGAGCCGAUGUCGGAUUAGCUAGUUGGCGGGGUAAAGGCCCACCAAGGCGACGAUCCGUAGCUGGUCUGAGAGGAUGAUCAGCCACACUGGAACUGAGACACGGUCCAGACUCCUACGGGAGGCAGCAGUGGGGAAUAUUGGACAAUGGGCGCAAGCCUGAUCCAGCCAUACCGCGUGGGUGAAGAAGGCCUUCGGGUUGUAAAGCCCUUUUGUUGGGAAAGAAAAGCAGCAGGUUAAUACCCCGCUGUUCUGACGGUACCCAAAGAAUAAGCACCGGCUAACUUCGUG